Molecule: ribosomal RNA, 487 nt
Filed under: uncultured bacterium
Lineage: Bacteria
Description: bacterial SSU rRNA
Rfam family: Bacterial small subunit ribosomal RNA
Source: RNAcentral
GAUCCUGGCUUAGGACGAACGCUGGCGGCGUGCCUAACACAUGCAAGUCGAGCGAGGAGAUUCCUUCGGGAUGAUCCUAGCGGCGGACGGGUGAGUAACACGUGGGCAACCUGCCUCAUAGAGAGGAAUAGCCUUCCGAAAGGGAGAUUAAUACCUCAUAACAUUGCAGUUUCGCAUGGAACAGCAAUUAAAGGGGUAAUCCGCUAUGAGAUGGGCCCGCGGCGCAUUAGCUAGUUGGUGAGGUAACGGCUCACCAAGGCGACGAUGCGUAGCCGACCUGAGAGGGUGAUCGGCCACAUUGGGACUGAGACACGGCCCAGACUCCUACGGGAGGCAGCAGUGGGGAAUAUUGCACAAUGGGGGAAACCCUGAUGCCAGCAACGCCGCGUGAGUGAUGACGGCCUUCGGGUUGUAAAGCUCUGUCUUCAGGGACGAUAAUGACGGUACCUGAGGAGGAAGCCACGGCUAACUACGUGCCAGCCGCGGC